AUUGAACGCUGGCGGCAGGCUUAACACAUGCAAGUCGAGCGGGGUGAUGGUGCUUGCACUAUCACUUAGCGGCGGACGGGUGGGUAAUGCUUAGGAAUCUGCCUAUUAGUGGGGGACAACAUCUCGAAAGGGAUGCUAAUACCGCAUACGUCCUACGGGAGAAAGCAGGGGAUCACUUGUGACCUUGCGCUAAUAGAUGAGCCUAAGUCGGAUUAGCUAGUUGGUGGGGUAAAGGCCUACCAAGGCGACGAUCUGUAGCGGGUCUGAGAGGAUGAUGAGCCACACUGGGACUGAGACACGGCCCAGACUCCUACGGGAGGCAGCAGUGGGGAAUAUUGGACAAUGGGGGGAACCCUGAUCCAGCCAUGCCGCGUGUGUGAAGAAGGCCUUAUGGUUGUAAAGCACUUUAAGCGAGGAGGAGGCUCUUUUGGUUAAUACCCAAGAUGAGUGGACGUUACUCGCAGAAUAAGCACCGGCUAACUCUGUGCCAGCCGCCGCCGUAA
This 503-nucleotide ribosomal RNA is filed under the name uncultured bacterium. RNAcentral describes it as "partial 16S ribosomal RNA". It matches the Rfam family "Bacterial small subunit ribosomal RNA", at positions 30 to 523 of the family's 1533-position model. The record is from RNAcentral.